This is a long non-coding RNA of Homo sapiens (human), 708 nucleotides long. Ensembl annotates it as CAVIN2 and TMEFF2 antisense RNA 1. Its record names the gene CAVIN2-AS1. Lineage: Eukaryota; Metazoa; Chordata; Mammalia; Primates; Hominidae. The record is from Ensembl.
CCUGGAUGACAAAGCAGUCACCUACUUGAACACUGCUAAUUAUGAAGUCAGAAAGAGGAAAGUUUGCAGAGUUUUGUAUUGGCAAUCAAACAUUCAGCCACAGGUCACAGUCUAGAACCAGACACAUCAGUGUCCUCAACUGCAAAGUAGCCAGGAAGCAGCAUCCCAUAACACAGUCCUAUGUCCACUGUUUUGGAGUUACUCAAGACCUAAGUGUUUUCUUGGAACUGUGUUUGUUACUGAGGAAGCCACAAAUUAAAUAUAAGUCUGCUCUUCAAGAGGUUACAUUCCAGUUAAGGAGAUUGCAUAUCCAUAUUUCCAGAAGUACCAAUGUGAUUGAAGCAAGGGAAAUUGCUAUGGGAUAUCUGACCAACUGGAUAUUCUGCUGGAAGAGCAGAAUGCACUUCAAAGACUAGCCAAUAAAACUCUCAUGGGCUCCUGACACACUGACCUCUGUCAGUUCCUUCAGCACACCAGGCUAAUCCCCAGUCUUGCGCCUUUGGACCAGAGGUUUUCUUUGCUCAGAAUACUGUUUCAACAGAUCUUUGCAUAGCUGGCUCUCGCUAUUUGACUAAAAUGUCAAUCCUCAGAGAGGAUGUAAGCUGUUUAAAGGCAAGGACCUUAUCUGUGUUACAUGCUGUAUUCCCAGGGCUCAGACAGAGCAUGACCUAUCGUAUGUACUAAAUAAAUAUCUCCUCAUACUGUAAA